AGCUCCAAUAGCGUAUAUUAAUGCUGUUGCGGUUAAAAAGCUCGUAGUUGGAUCUCGGCGGGCAGGAGGCGGUGCGCUCUGCGCGACACUGCCUCGCACGCCCGUGAAUCGUGCGCCGGAGGCGACGGGGUGCUCUUAACCGAGUGUCCCGCCGCGCCGGCAGGUUUACUUUGAAAAAAUUAGAGUGCUCCAAGCAGGCUUGCCACGCCUGGAUACCCGUGCAUGGAAUAAUGGAAUAGGACGUCGUUUCUAUUUCGUUGGUUUUCGGAAAUCGACGUAAUGAUUAAUAGGGACAGUCGGGGGCAUUAGUAUUCAGGCGACAGAGGUGAAAUUCUUGGACCGCCUGAAGACUCACCACUGCGAAAGCAUUUGCCAAGAAUGUUUUCA
RNAcentral lists this ribosomal RNA (387 nucleotides) under uncultured eukaryote. RNAcentral describes it as "SSU rRNA". It matches the Rfam family "Eukaryotic small subunit ribosomal RNA", at positions 587 to 972 of the family's 1831-position model. The record is from RNAcentral.